GCUUGGUGGACAGAAGGCUAGAGCCAUGAGAACUAUAUUACAAAUACAGUCAUAGUUAUUGACAUCACAUUGAUCAGUGAAUUUGACAAGAAAAUUAGUAAUCUAAAUUGAACUAUAUUUAAUGGGAUUAUGUUGCAAACUUCAAAUAAUCAAUCAAGCCGCUAGUUUGUAUAAAUAUGUGAUUCUCCCCAUCAUGUUAGGCCUCAUUGUAACCAAUCUGAUGCCCAAUACACA
Molecule: long non-coding RNA, 234 nt
Filed under: Elaeis guineensis (African oil palm)
Lineage: Eukaryota; Viridiplantae; Streptophyta; Magnoliopsida; Arecales; Arecaceae
Description: long non-coding RNA (EGUI_LNC005128)
Source: RNAcentral